This 640-nucleotide ribosomal RNA is filed under the name Salmonella enterica subsp. enterica serovar Dortmund. RNAcentral describes it as "partial 23S ribosomal RNA". It matches the Rfam family "Bacterial large subunit ribosomal RNA", at positions 640 to 1280 of the family's 2925-position model. The record is from RNAcentral. Lineage: Bacteria; Pseudomonadati; Pseudomonadota; Gammaproteobacteria; Enterobacterales; Enterobacteriaceae.
GCAAGGUUAACCGCAUAGGGGAGCCGGAGGGAAACCGAGUCUUAAUUGGGCGUUAAGUUGCAGGGUAUAGACCCGAAACCCGGUGAUCUAGCCAUGGGCAGGUUGAAGGUUGGGUAACACUAACUGGAGGACCGAACCGACUAAUGUUGAAAAAUUAGCGGAUGACCUGUGGCUGGGGGUGAAAGGCCAAUCAAACCGGGAGAUAGCUGGUUCUCCCCGAAAGCUAUUUAGGUAGCGCCUCGUGAAUUCAUCUCCGGGGGUAGAGCACUGUUUCGGCUAGGGGGCCAUCCCGGCUUACCAACCCGAUGCAAACUGCGAAUACCGGAGAAUGUUAUCACGGGAGACACACGGCGGGUGCUAACGUCCGUCGUGAAGAGGGAAACAACCCAGACCGCCAGCUAAGGUCCCAAAGUCAUGGUUAAGUGGGAAACGAUGUGGGAAGGCCCAGACAGCCAGGAUGUUGGCUUAGAAGCAGCCAUCAUUUAAAGAAAGCGUAAUAGCUCACUGGUCGAGUCGGCCUGCGCGGAAGAUGUAACGGGGCUAAACCAUGCACCGAAGCUGCGGCAGCGACACUGUGUGUUGUUGGGUAGGGGAGCGUUCUGUAAGCCUGCGAAGGUGUGUCGUGAGGCAUGCUGGAGGU